CAGCAGCCGCGGUAAUACGUAGGUCCCGAGCGUUGUCCGGAUUUAUUGGGCGUAAAGCGAGCGCAGGCGGUUAGAUAAGUCUGAAGUUAAAGGCUGUGGCUUAACCAUAGUACGCUUUGGAAACUGUUUAACCUGAGUGCAGAAGGGGAGAGUGGAAUUCCAUGUGUAGCGGUGAAAUGCGUAGAUAUUGGGAAGAACACCGGUGGCGAAGGCGGCGACCUGGUCUUUUACUGACGCUGAGGCGCGAAAGCGUGGGGAGCAAACAGGAUUAGAUACCCGCGUAGUCCCUGUCUCUUAUACA
This 301-nucleotide ribosomal RNA is filed under the name uncultured bacterium. Its description in RNAcentral is "partial 16S ribosomal RNA". It matches the Rfam family "Bacterial small subunit ribosomal RNA", at positions 509 to 808 of the family's 1533-position model. The record is from RNAcentral.